GGAGCGAGCAGUGGGAAUUUUGCACACGGCCCCAACCUGAUGCAGCGACCUCGGAGGAGGGAUGCCGCCUUUCGGUGUAAACUCUUUCAGUAGGGAAGAACGGAAAGUGACCGUUCCUGCAGAAGAAGGACUGGUUACCUACGUGCAGCAGCGGCGGUAAUACGUAGGGUGGGAGCGUUUUCCGCAAUUAUUGGGUGUAAAGAGCUCGUAGGGGGUUUCGUCGCGUCUGUCGUGAAAGUCCGGGGCUUCACCCAGGAUCUGCGGUGGGUACGGGCAGACUAGAGUGCAGUAGGGGAGACUGGAAUUCCUGGUGUAGCGGUGGAAUGCGCAGAUAUCAGGAGGAACACCGAUGGCGAAGGCAGGUCUCUGGGCUGUAACUGACGCUGAGGAGCGAAAGCAUGGGGAGCGAACAGGAUUAGAUACCCUGGUAGUCCAUGCCGUAAACGUUGGGCACUAGGUGUGGGGACCAUUCCACGGUUUCCGCGCCGCAGCUAACGCAUUAAGUGCCCCGCCUGGGGAGUACGGCCGCAAGGCUAAAACUCAAAGGAAUUGACGGGGGCCCGCACAAGCGGCGGAGCAUGCGGAUUAAUUCGAUGCAACGCGAAGAACCUUACCAAGGCUUGACAUGUUCUCGAUCGCCGUAGAGAUACGGUUUCCCCUUUGGGGCGGGUUCACAGGUGGUGCAUGGUUGUCGUCAGCUCGUGUCGUGAGAUGUUGGGUUAAGUCCCGCAACGAGCGCAACCCUCGUUCCAUGUUGCCAGCACGUAAUGGUGGGGACUCAUGGGAGACUGCCGGGGUCAACUCGGAGGAAGGUGAGGACGACGUCAAAUCAUCAUGCCCCUUAUGUCUUGGGCUUCACGCAUGCUACAAUGGCCGGUACAAUGGGUUGCGAUACUGUGAGGUGGAGCUAAUCCCAAAAAGCCGGUCUCAGUUCGGAUUGGGGUCUGCAACUCGACCCCAUGAAGUCGGAGUCGCUAGUAAUCGCAGAUCAGCAACGCUGCGGUGAAUACGUUCCCGGGCCUUGUACACACCGCCCGUCAAGUCACGAAAGUCGGUACCACCCGAAGCCCCUGGCCUCACGCCUCUCGGUACAGCGCUAACCAUAGGACUCCCCCC
RNAcentral lists this ribosomal RNA (1116 nucleotides) under Micrococcus luteus. RNAcentral describes it as "bacterial SSU rRNA". It matches the Rfam family "Bacterial small subunit ribosomal RNA", at positions 344 to 1475 of the family's 1533-position model. Lineage: Bacteria; Bacillati; Actinomycetota; Actinomycetes; Micrococcales; Micrococcaceae. The record is from RNAcentral.